MicroRNA precursor from Macaca mulatta (Rhesus monkey), 87 nucleotides. Ensembl annotates it as microRNA 212. Its record names the gene MIR212. The record is from Ensembl. Lineage: Eukaryota; Metazoa; Chordata; Mammalia; Primates; Cercopithecidae.
CGGGGCACCCCGCCCGGACAGCGCGCCGGCACCUUGGCUCUAGACUGCUUACUGCCCGGGCCGCCCUCAGUAACAGUCUCCAGUCAG